UAGGGAAUCUUCGGCAAUGGGGGGAACCCUGACCGAGCAACGCCGCGUGAGUGAAGAAGGUUUUCGGAUCGUAAAGCUCUGUUGUUAAGGAAGAACGAGUGUGAGAAUGGAAAGUUCAUGCUGUGACGGUACUUAACCAGAAAGGGACGGCUAACUACGUGCCAGCAGCCGCGGUAAUACGUAGGUCCCGAGCGUUGUCCGGAUUUAUUGGGCGUAAAGCGAGCGCAGGCGGUUAGAAAAGUCUGAAGUGAAAGGCAGUGGCUCAACCAUUGUAGGCUUUGGAAACUGUUUAACUUGAGUGCAGAAGGGGAGAGUGGAAUUCCAUGUGUAGCGGUGAAAUGCGUAGAUAUAUGGAGGAACACCGGUGGCGAAAGCGGCUCUCUGAUCUGUAACUGACGCUGAGGCUCGAAAGCGUGGGGAGCGAACAGG
Molecule: ribosomal RNA, 429 nt
Filed under: Bacteroidota bacterium
Lineage: Bacteria; Pseudomonadati; Bacteroidota
Also listed under: 1 other name
Description: Bacteroidetes bacterium partial 16S ribosomal RNA
Rfam family: Bacterial small subunit ribosomal RNA
Source: RNAcentral